AGAGGCAUAUAAAAAAGCUCAGCUGGGCAUGGUGCCUCAUGCCUGUAAUCCCAGCAGUUUGGGAGGCCAAGGUGGGUGGAUCACUUGAAGUCAGGAGUUCAAGACCAGUCUGGCCAACAGGAUGAAACUCUCUCUCUACUAAAAAUACUAAAAUUAGUUAGGCAUGAUGGCACACUCCUAUAAUACCAGCUACUCGGGAAGCUGAGGCAUGAGAAUCACUUGAAUCCAGGAGGCAGAUGUUGCAGUGAGCUGAGAUUACACCACUGCCUGCCAGCCCAGGUGACAGAGCAAGACUCUGUCUCAAAUUUAAAGAAAAAAAAAAAAGGAACACAAAUCAAAACCACAAUGAGAUGCCAUCUUACACUUCUCAGAAUGGCUAGUAAUAAAAAAGUAAAAAAACAAAUAACAGAUGCUGGAGAGGUUGUGAAGAAAUUGUAUCCACUGGAAGUAAAUCUUUAACAUAAAAAAAACAAAGUUUCCUAAAAUGAUUACCAUCUGUUUUGACCUAUAUUGUUUCCAGAAGUAUAAUGCAGGCAUGUGUUAAAGCUACCUCCUGAUAGCAUGAGGGUUAGGGUGAGGGUCACAACACUUAAUAUGGGUUGUCACCAGGAAGCUGCUUCUCCCCAUCAGAACUGUAGUGUCCUUCUCUCUACGGUGUGUUGUCAGACAACAUCCAGGUCAAACAAAGUCACUCUGCAACCUACCUUGCUCCUGAUACCCUGUGAAAUGUCCACAAAAGUCAUGCAUAAUAAUGAUCCUGGAAUUUGUAUCUAUUUAAAUUAGUACAAAGGUGAUAAAAAGCACUAUUUAUUUAUUUAUUUAUUUAUUUUUCAGGAAAAAAAUGCAUGAAACCCAAUGGAGGGAAGGUGAGGAUAUGAUUCUGCCUUCUACCCUAGGCCACAAUGCCAAAUGGAUCAGAAGAGCAGCAUGAAAAUGGUACUUUAGAACCUUGAAAACAAAAUCUGAGCAAAAGCCAGGAUCUUUUCAGACUUUACAAAAAUUAAAUUUUUUGUUAUCUUUUGUUGAUGUUGGUUGGUCAAACUUUUGACAGGUGGAGAGAGCACAUCUUUUCUAAAUGACUCAAUAUUUUGGAUUUGGAAGAAGUAAGCACCAAUGAGAUGAGUUUUGUCUUACGAUGACUUGACAUUUACUGUAAUUCUUAGGUGACAUUUUGGAAUACAAACUUUUGAGGGUCUUCCCGGGACUUCAGUUUUUCAAUAAGAUGGUCCUUUGCUUCCU
Molecule: long non-coding RNA, 1239 nt
Filed under: Pan troglodytes (chimpanzee)
Lineage: Eukaryota; Metazoa; Chordata; Mammalia; Primates; Hominidae
Description: long non-coding RNA NONPTRT007231
Source: RNAcentral